UACGGAGGAUCCGAGCGUUAUCCGGAUUUAUUGGGUUUAAAGGGUGCGUAGGCGGUUUGAUAAGUUAGAGGUGAAAUGUCGGGGCUCAACCCCGAAACUGCCUCUAAUACUGUUGGACUAGAGAAUAGUUGCGGUAGGCGGAAUGUAUGGUGUAGCGGUGAAAUGCUUAGAGAUCAUACAGAACACCGAUUGCGAAGGCAGCUUACCAAACUAUAUCUGACGUUGGGGCACGAAAGCGUGGGUAGCAAACAGG
RNAcentral lists this ribosomal RNA (253 nucleotides) under uncultured bacterium. RNAcentral describes it as "partial 16S ribosomal RNA". It matches the Rfam family "Bacterial small subunit ribosomal RNA", at positions 524 to 776 of the family's 1533-position model. The record is from RNAcentral.